UGGAUAUAGAAACGUGUCCUGUAGUUAUUUUUGUUGUCAAAGCCUUAUCCUCUGUCAAACUGUUUGUUCGAUAGCCUCUUUCAAGUUUCUCAAUAUCUUCCUCUGCUCUCUCAUGCUCUUUCCUUCUUCACUGCUACAGCUUUCCACAUGUGUCUACAAGGUUGAGUAAAGAGUUGAAAAAUGGUGCCAGAAAAAGAUUAAUUGACUGAGGUAGCUUGAACUCUCUCCAUAUAAUGUGGUUUGGAAUGGAAAAUGCCGACUACUAAGCUUGGGACUACUACUCCUGUUCAGUUGGAAUGAUGAAUUUGGAUGUACAUGUGAUGACUGUUUUGCUUUGCUGAUGGCCACGAAUUCGAUCCACAAUGUGUUGAUUUGUUUUACUUGGAUUUAUCAAAGAAGGACUAUCAAGUUACCAUUCAUCGACACAAUGGAUUGGACUCUUUUUCCUUAACAAAAGAUAGAGCUGCAUCAUCGCCGUAUAAUAUUGUUGCAAUCAGGACAAGUACAUCAUGACUUGCUUCAUAAUCUGUUGUUGUCUUUCUAUGAUUUGACUGUCAUGACAAUAAUCCUUUAUGGAAAUAGAUAACACAUCUGGAUUGAAUUCUUAAGUCGAUAAGAUGAAUGCCCUGUAUGUCCAAAACACUUGACAGUAUUGGUUAGGACAAAUACAUUCAUGUUAGGGCUUUCAUUUGUAAUAUGCAGUUGAUCUAUUUCAAUAACUCCAUGUUGGAGUAAAUUAUAUCAUGCCUGUAGUUAUAGCAAGAUAUAUAAAUGCAUCAACUGCACAAAUAUAUGGUAUUUCAGGACCAUUUCAAUUUUCUCAUUUCAGUAGAUAUAAUCAAGUGCUUUUGGAAACUCUUCAAGAGUUCCAAUAAUAUUCAAGUCAUCAACUUGCAUAAUAAUAUGAAAGGUUCUGAUUAUCAUAUAGAGACAAGGGUAAACAUGAUCUUAUUGGUACCCUUCGUCAAUAAAUAUUCAUUAAGGCGAUUUCAGUACAUCAGCCUUGAUUCAUUUAAUCCAUUUAAGGAUUUAUAAACGAGUUUCCCAAGAAUUUGUAUAUGCUUUAGGCAUUUUGAAUCCUUCAGAAAUUUUCAUAUAAAUUUUGUCAAGUAAUUCAUAUAGGAUGUGAAAACAUCUAUUUCUAUUUAAAUGAUAUGACAUCUUCUGGUGUCUGGACAGCAGGUCAAAUAAGCUUUAUGCUUACCAAGAUGCGUCAUUUCACUUGAUAAUAAUUUCUAAGUCAGCAUGCUUUGAUAGACGUAGAAUUUAGAUCCUCACAAUCUUUUACAAUAUUGCGCUAUAUUGUAUCAAAAUAUUGUCGACAAGAUAUCAUGUUGUAUCGGUUCGCAAUUCGACAUAACUUACUGAGAUCUCAUCACUUCAUUAUUUUUAGUUACCUGAACCUCGCAUAAGGUUUCAUGAAGUGUUAUGUCGUCGGCUCUUCAAGAGCACUUUGCCUCCUUAUUAUGAUCAUUUGCUCCUCCUUUUUUUUUUCAAGGAUUAUUAUAUUUGGAACCGAUUGGUCUACCAUGCUCCAUGCAUGUUGUAGACUCUGUCCUUCAGGGACAUUAUGAGCAUUUUGCAGAUGAAAUAUGAAAUAGUUGGGUCAGCAAAUGCUUCCAGCAUUUGACUUGAAUUAUCUGAGGAUCAUACUGAUGAUAAUUCACAACAUAUUUCUUAGCUGCUUAUUCUCUCCCCCUUAUUUUAGUGACAUAUGUCCCUAUUUUCUUUGGGAAAAUCCAUCUGUGUGCAUCAUGGUAUAUCCAUUAAUCAUGUACCACACAUCAAAUGCUAAAAGAUGGAAAUAUCUAGUUCCUGACCCUGAACCAAAUAUGAGGGGAGAAUUUUUCAAAAUUUAUUGAUCUGAAGCACACAAGUGCUGUUGUAUGCAAUAUAUCAUAUCUCAGACCAACAUUUGAAACUCUGUUCCCAUAAGCAAUGGUUUAGCUGUAUUAUGGAGGCAUCUAAUGCCAAACCAACUUAGAUAUAAACCAGCAUUAUCAAGAUGAUUGUCUUGAUUACAUAUUCUGAAAAUUGUGCUUCCAACUCAAUCAUUUUGAGCAAGCAACUUCGUAAAUGUCAAACUGCCAGUUGACAAUAAACAUACAUAUGACCGUCUCAUAGAUGCAUCUAUUUAAGACAUCACAUUACAGGUGAAGGGGCCCACAUUCACCUUUUAUAUUUUUCAGAAUUUUGGGGAUUCAGUCCCAAUAUUAGCUGGUGUAAUCAACUUAUCAUGAGAACAAGCAACACAAACAAAUUCUUGAAGAAUCUUCUAGUUCUUCAAUAUGUUUUUAAUACUCAAUUAGCACAUCAGAUUUAAAUCAGGACGAUCAAAAUGGUCUUGUCAACUGAUAAAAUUAUUUGUACCCGUAAACUUCAAGUUUACCAUGACGAGUGCUAUUUCUUUUGAUAAACUUCUGGUUUACUAUUGCAUGAAAUUGUAUAUCAAUAAACUUCUGGUUUAUUGUGGUAUGUGAUCUCAUCAUGCUCGGGUAACAUUUCACUUGUGUAUUUCUUACCCAUAGUAACUUGAAGAUAUUUAAUAUUCCGAUUAUUUGUAGUCUCAAUAUGAUAACCAUUUUUAUUGUUAGUAAACUUCAGGUCUACUACAGUGUUCCGAUCGUACCAAUUACGAUCUACGAUGAAUGGUAUUAUCAUAUAUAACAUCUUCAAGAGACUUCAAUUUAUUUAUCAUAAUCAGAUAUUAUUUGGACAUUGCUAGUGUCAUGAUACUUGUAAAUAAAUAAUUAUCUCUUCUGGAGAUGGAUCAUGAUAUUUUCACAAUCAAAUGCACGUUUAUAUUUAUAGGCUUUACUACAUAUUAUCACAUUCACUUCAGGGAAUGAAUCUAUAUUUAUAGCUUAUAUCAAAAGUUCUCAUUCUUAAAAAAAUGGAACACAAUCAUCUGAACAUGCAGGCCUUAAGCAUAUCAAAUUGUGAUAGCUUAAAAUUUCUUUUAAAAUAUUGCUACUUCAGGAGCAAAUCGAGAUAUGCAUAUAAUGUAGAGAUUUUUCUCUAACAUAUUUUCAAUAUAAAUCACAAUAUGGAGGCCUAUAUAUGAAUCAUCACUUCCAGUGAUCAUGAUCCAUAAAUAUAAAUAAAUUUAGUGAUACUUUAUACUUGUGAAGUAUGAAUGUCACUUCUGGGAUCAUUCUAACAACAAGUACCAAAUUGAUCAUGAUAUACGCAUAUAUAAACAUAGCAUGUAACAUUAGAAGUGAAUUAAAAAUAUUAAACCAACAAUAAUAAGCAAAAAGGCUCAAAUCACUUUACCUGUGAUGGAAACUGUUUUUAUUAUAAGAUACAAGUAUAACUUACUAGAUAUCCAAACCUCACGAAGAAUUGCAAACAAUACUUGAUUACAUACACUGUCGUGAACCGUUUCCCGGAUGAUUUAUAAUUGCAACCCCUUAAAUAACAAAAACUUCGAUAUAGGCUAAACUCAAAUAAAAUAUUAGAGACUCGUGCUGAUAACGUGUUAUAAAACUAUAUAAUUGGAAAUAAACAAGAGAAGCAAACUAAUAACUUUGUAGAGAGAAGGGAGAGAUUAUAUUUCACUUAUUCUUGAUAUCUCAUAACAAAUUGAGAACUUAACCAUCUAUUUAUAGAGAUGGUAAAUCUCUUGAUGAAGUCAUCAAUGACAACACCAAGAGUUAAAAUCAAACUUGUGUUGCUUCAUUUUCUUCAUUUCAUACAUGCCACCAAAUGUACAUGUACCUACUCUUAUUUAGGACAUGUGGAAAACCUAGACUAUAUGGACAUUCACAUAUAUAUUUUAUAACAUAGACGAUGUAUUUAAGGACUUUUGCACAUAUUAUAAAAAAAGUGUAUCUAUUGUGCACAAUGAUGGCUGGAUAAAUUUAGAUGGUUUACUGUUAGUAGUGGUAAUUUGAGAUAAUGAUAUUUAAUAAUUUGCAGAGUGGUAUGGUAUUUUAGCUUCCAGCUAAAUGUAAUACAAUUUGGGAUUAUAUUGUGCAGAUCCUAAUUAUUCCCCUUACAAAAAAGGAUACUACAGUCUCCAUCUUCUAAGAGUUGAUCAAUAAUCACUUCAUAUUCGGUGCAAUUUUUUGACUACCACUUCUAUCUCCAUGUAUAUUGCACGUGAAAAACGAUAAGUACUUAUUCAACAUACUUUUACAUCAAUACAGUCGUAGCUUUCAUCACCUGUUUUGAUUCCUUAUUGCUAUCGUUCACCACCAAAUGACUGCAAAGCAUCCACCACUUUAAAAUGUAAAAUGAGCAUGGGCCAUACCCCUCUAGUUACUACUAUUUAGAAGCACCAGUUGAGUGCUUUUUCGUCGUCCGUCGUCGUCAGCAUCUUCUGGCUGUACAUUGAUUUAGUUUACCAAGAAAACCAAACCCUUUGAAAGAAUUCCUUUUACGUUCAAUCUCCUUUAUUCAAGCUUACACGUGUCCUUAAAUGUAUUUCUCAGUGGGCCCACUUCUCUUUGUGAUUGAGGCUGACAAGUUUUUGCAUAUGGUAACCUUUUACUAUAGCUAAUUUGGUUCUAGAAAAUUCUUUGUAUAGGUGUUGUACCAAAUAUUAUAUAGUAAAACACAAUCAAGAUGGAAAAAAAAAACUGCAAAGCCAAAAUAUUCCUAGAUGGACUCUUCCUCUGUUUUUCCUUACUCUAUUUAUAUCAGUUACAUUUGGAUUACUUAGAAAGGCAUGCUUAGUAAUUAAAAAUAUUGGGCCCCAUAUUAAACAGGCCCAUAACAAAAAAAAGAAAAAAAAAUGUGGGCCUCAUAUAUAUCAAACAACAACUAAUAUUAAAAAAAAAUUGUGGGUCUCAUAUUAAACACCAACCAGUAUUAAAAAAAAAAACCGAUGGAACCCACCACAUCCAAACUCACGUGAAAAAAAAAGUGAACCCCAUAUUAACAAAAUCAAGCAAUAUUAAAAAAAAAAUUAAUCCCAUAUUAAAAAACAAUUGAACCAGUAUUAAAAAAAAGGAGAAGAAAAAAAAGUGGAACCCACCACAUCCAAACUCACGGGAAAAAAAAAAGUGAACCCCAUAUUAACAGAAUCAAGCAAAAAAAUUUGUGGGCCCCAUAUAUAUUAAACAACAACUAAUAUUUUAAAAAAAAUUAUGGGCCCCAUAUUAAACACCAACCAGUAUUAAAAAAAAAGGAAGAAAAGAAGUGAAACCCACCACAUCCAAACUCACGAGAAAAAAAAUGGACCCCAUAUUAACAAAAUCAAGCAAUAUUAAAAAAAAAAGUGAAUCCCAUAUUAAAAAAACAAACAAUGUUAAAAAAAAGUGGAACCCACCACAUCCAAACUCACGGGGGAAAAAAAAGUGGACCCCAUAUUAACAAAAGCAAGCAAUAUUAAAAAAAAAAGUGAAUCCCAUAUUAAUAAAACAAACAAUGUUAAAAAACAAAUGCUUAGAAAAUCAAACAAUUAAAUCAAUAAUGAUGGACUCAUUGCCACAUGUGUAUCAACCCAUUAGUGGCAGCAAAUGAAAUUAUUGUACAGCAGCAUACUUAAAAUACUUAUAUAUUAAAAUAAGAUAGAAUUUAAUUACUUUUUCAUUUUUUCCUUACUCUAAUAAAUGUGAAAAGAGAUUAAUGUCAUAAAAGAAAAAAUAAUAUUAAAUGGAGAUCAAAUAAUUAAUAAGCUAAAUUAGUGAAAUUAUAAUUCUAAUUAACGUUUCCUUAAAAAAUCGUGUAAAAAAUAACAUGACAAGUAAAAUGAGUUAAACAAAAAAUAUUUACUAAAAAUUAAAAAAUAGAAGUUUUUCAUGGCCCCAUAUUAAACACCAACCAGUAUUAAAAAAAAAAAAAAAA
Long non-coding RNA from Lycium barbarum (goji berry), 5793 nucleotides. RefSeq lists it as uncharacterized. The record is from RefSeq and is a predicted model, not a curated record. NCBI's taxonomy places the organism in Eukaryota, Viridiplantae, Streptophyta, Magnoliopsida, Solanales, Solanaceae. The transcript has 4 exons.